This is a non-coding RNA of Molorchus minor, 70 nucleotides long. Lineage: Eukaryota; Metazoa; Arthropoda; Insecta; Coleoptera; Cerambycidae. The record is from the annotation of a GenBank genome assembly.
GUCUGUAGCUCAUUGGUAAAGGCGCCGGCCUUACAAGCAGAAAUUGCAGGUUCAAGUCCUGACAGGACCU